RNAcentral lists this ribosomal RNA (290 nucleotides) under uncultured bacterium. RNAcentral describes it as "partial 16S ribosomal RNA". It matches the Rfam family "Bacterial small subunit ribosomal RNA", at positions 29 to 347 of the family's 1533-position model. The record is from RNAcentral.
AACGAACGCUGGCGGCAGGCCUAACACAUGCAAGUCGAACGCCCGUAGCAAUACGGGAGUGGCAGACGGGUGAGUAACGCGUGGGAACGUGCCCUUGGUUCGGAAUAACUCAGGGAAACUUGAGCUAAUACCGGAUACGUCCGUAAGGAGAAAGAUUUAUCGCCGAAGGAUCGGCCCGCGUCGGAUUAGCUAGUUGGUGAGGUAACGGCCACAAGGCGACGAUCCGUAGCUGGUCUGAGAGGANGAUCAGCCACACUGGGACUGAGACACGGCCCAGACUCCUACGGGGA